UCUCCGUUGGUGAACCAGCGGAGGGAUCAUUACCGAGUUUACAACUCCCAAACCCCUGUGAACAUACCUUACUGUUGCCUCGGCGGAUCAGCCCGCUCCCGGUAAAACGGGACGGCCCGCCAGAGGACCCCUAAACUCUUGUUAAUUUUUGUCAAAUCUGAAUCAAAACUAAGAAAUAAGUUAAAACUUUCAACAACGGAUCUCUUGGUUCUG
This 213-nucleotide unclassified non-coding RNA is filed under the name root metagenome. RNAcentral's name for it is "partial contains small subunit ribosomal RNA, internal transcribed spacer 1, and 5.8S ribosomal RNA". The record is from RNAcentral.